CUGAUUCACUCGAGCCUAUUUCCGUAUUCGACGGUAGUUGGCGCUCAAACCCUAAUCGAUUCGCUCGACGCCCUUUCCGUCUUCGAGGCCGCGGUCGUCGAUGACUGUAUGUGCGACUGAUUGGGUAGAGCGUCGAGUUGGGGGCCUCGACUUGCGUACGGGCAAUCUUAUUAUGUGCACCAGUUAGGACACCCCUUACUGAUACCCUCGACAGUAUGCUUAGGAUGCAAGUGCUGCAAUCAAACACAAGCAAAAUUUUUCACCAAAGAUAGAUAACAAACUGAUUGAGCAACUUGAUAUAAAAUUCAGAGCUUGUGCACAUAAACAAACGGAACUUUCUACUCUUCCUUCACAACUUUUCUUUCCUCAAUCUUUCUUCUCUCUUUUUUUGAGUCUUUUCUUUCUUUUUUUGUCAUCUUUUUUUUGCACCACUAACUAUAAGAUCAGAUAUAGAAAAUUGCACACUUUCUUUUUGGUAGAAACAAGACACAACCGUCAGCGUUCUAACUUGAUAGGAUCAAAGUUUACGCGAAGGAUGAUCCGGGUUUCUGAAUUUUUGUUUUAGGAAUUUGUAGAUAUGUUAAAGAAGCUCAACUAAAAUAAAGACUCUAAUGGACCAAAAUUUAACCAAACUCACAAGAAUAAUAGAUUGAAACAACAGGCUGAUGUAAAAUAUUUUUGUGGCUUUUUAGUGGAUAGGACGAACAUAAAAUAUAUAUGUAGCUAAGGGUAAAAAUCCUACCGUGGCAACGAAAGCGUUGAUACCAAAUGAUGAGGUCGUUGUCCCGAUCUUCAUGACGUAGGAACUUGAUCUUGAUAACUUGCCGUAGAACGGCGGAUAACUUGCUACAAGUAGCGAUAACUAGUGCAACCUGAUGACACGCACAAGGAGCCAACCACCAUAUCUCUACGACAGCCUGAACCAAGGACUUGUCCAACCACACUCUCAAAGAACCAACCAACGCAACCUGAAUACAAAGAUCAGGAGCAUGGAUUGGGUGCCGAUGACGCAGCCACUUCUGUAAUCUCCACAAGGGAAAACAUAAGAGCAGAGGGGUAGAGAAUCUCUCUCUGGUUUUGUUAGCACACAGCUGAACAAAGUGGUCUGUAUUCUAAUUAUCAAAGUUAUAGUUUACAAUGAGUCUUAGGGGGGAAAUUAUACUAGCAACAGCCCUGCUAGAUAGGUGUAAACUUGAGGCAGAAAUUAAAAGACUAAGAAUGUG
Molecule: long non-coding RNA, 1223 nt
Filed under: Sorghum bicolor (sorghum)
Lineage: Eukaryota; Viridiplantae; Streptophyta; Magnoliopsida; Poales; Poaceae
Description: long non-coding RNA (SBIC_LNC016171)
Source: RNAcentral